AUUUUUUUCCCAGCAACCAACUCAACAGGCCAGCCCUCCCCCCGGCCCUAUCAAGUAGAAGCAUUAAGCAGAGUCCAUUUUUCUUGGGGGAAAAAAAUAAAUAACAAAUCCAAUCAAGAAAAUAAAAAUUCUCUUUUUUUUCUCAUUUUCACCCGAGUCAAAGUCGACGAUCAAGCAGUGCGAGAGGAUCACUGCGAUCGGAGAGUGAGCCGUCGAUCGGAUCCUCUCGAGUCUCGACCGAACCAAUUCCUAUAAAUUUAAUACAGCGAAAAAAGGAGAAGGGAUAAUGGAGGACGCGAGGGCGAUCAAGCUAGGGUUUUGAGAGAAAUUUUGAGGGAAAUUUCUUCCUAUUUUUUAUAUGAAAGUGCGGCGAAAUGUUUUUUCAGUUUUACCACCCCGGAAGCACAAACAAUGGAGAUUGGCUGAAGAUGACAAGAAAAAAUUCUCAGACAGGUUCAAUGGGUGUCUUUAGCUGUUCCCAAACAUAGCCUUUCCAUCAUGCAUCUCCAUAAAAUUCGGAGAAGAUGGUGUCGUUGUCGCCGCCGUCGACGAUGAAGACCCAGAUCCGGUGGUGGUGGCAGUGCUCUCGACUGGGCUGUGCCCGAGCUGGGCGAGGUAUGCAGCAUGACGCAUUCGGACGUGGACCAUUUCAGCCUGCGCGAUGGCAAGCUGAGUUUGGAGGAGUUCAAUCUGUUGCUGGAGGGAUGAGAUUGCACCUACGCAGCCAUAGACUGGGUCGCGGACGCGAGCGUUUGCCUCAUACACCAUGCUGCUCACGGCAUCGCUCCGGUGUUGCACCGGCAGUUCCUGUAGAAUCACCAGUGAAUAUUUGCAGUCUAUUGUUUUAGGAUAUAAGAAAGAUAUCGCUAUUUCAAUUAUAAUUGUUUAUUAUUUAGUGGACACAGUAAUAUAUACGUGAGUGAAUAAAUAUGUAUGCAAAUCAAUGUGGAUACUAAUUGCAAUGACAAAUUAUGGUCAAACAGGAAAUGUUAGUACAAAACAGGGAACAGAUUCAUGAUUCUGA
This is a long non-coding RNA of Asparagus officinalis (garden asparagus), 1024 nucleotides long. RefSeq lists it as uncharacterized. The record is from RefSeq and is a predicted model, not a curated record. Lineage: Eukaryota; Viridiplantae; Streptophyta; Magnoliopsida; Asparagales; Asparagaceae. The transcript is spliced from 3 exons.